Syngnathus acus (greater pipefish) is the source of this 463-nucleotide long non-coding RNA. RefSeq lists it as uncharacterized. Lineage: Eukaryota; Metazoa; Chordata; Actinopteri; Syngnathiformes; Syngnathidae. The transcript has 4 exons. The record is from RefSeq and is a predicted model, not a curated record.
GGAAAAUCCACAUCAGGGCAGGGAGACCUAUGGGGACCUAUAGAGGCCUAUAGGGAAAUCCCUGUCACGUGCAGGGAGACCUAAGGGGAAGUUACGUGCAAGGGAGGCCUAUAAAUAUGUCGUCCUGACACAGAGCGAGACUGCUCUUCCUGGUCAGGGGGAUGGCCCUGGCGCUGCCAGGAGUAAAGCAUUUUUCAUGCUUUUUGAGAUUGGACCAAAAUCGACGAAAAUGAAUUUCAAGAGUCUUCGAAUUAGACUUUGUCAAAUUUUAAGCUUCGAGGAAGGCAGAGGGGACAGCCGCUUCUGGCAGCAAGGGGGAGACGCCAAUAUUCCGGUGUUGGCUAAUCUCCUCAUCGGCAGACCUUUCCUCUUUUUAAACAAAAUUCGGAUUUUGAAACAAAGGAGAACUGAUCCCUCGACUUGUUCAACCAAAUAGCAUUUUAGACCUUUUGUCUCCUCUUAU